Molecule: ribosomal RNA, 422 nt
Filed under: Ammoniphilus sp. CFH 90114
Lineage: Bacteria; Bacillati; Bacillota; Bacilli; Caryophanales; Paenibacillaceae
Description: Bacterial large subunit ribosomal RNA
Rfam family: Bacterial large subunit ribosomal RNA
Source: Rfam by way of RNAcentral
UGAAGGACGUGCUAAUCUGCGAUAAGCGUCGGUGAGGUGAUAUGAACCGUUAUAACCGGCGAUUUCCGAAUGGGGAAACCCAGUGUGUUUCGACACACUAUCAUUAACUGAAUCCAUAGGUUAAUGAGGCGAACCGGGGGAACUGAAACAUCUAAGUACCCCGAGGAAAAGAAAUCAACCGAGAUUCCCCCAGUAGCGGCGAGCGAACGGGGAGGAGCCCAGAGCCUGAAUCAGUGUGUGUGUUAGUGGAAGCGUCUGGAAAGGCGCGCGAUACAGGGUGACAGCCCCGUACACAAAAAUGCACAUAUUGUGAGCUCGAUGAGUAGGGCGGGACACGUGGUAUCCUGUCUGAAUAUGGGGGGACCAUCCUCCAAGGCUAAAUACUCCUGACUGACCGAUAGUGAACCAGUACCGUGAGGGAA